Molecule: regulatory RNA element, 60 nt
Organism: Cavia porcellus (domestic guinea pig)
Lineage: Eukaryota; Metazoa; Chordata; Mammalia; Rodentia; Caviidae
Rfam family: Ma3 gene ribosomal frameshift signal
Source: Rfam
GGGAAACGGGAAGGGGGCUGGGGCUCUGAGCCACCCCAAGCCCUAGGAAGUACAGGCUCA